CCUACGGGAGGCAGCAGUGAGGAAUAUUGGUCAAUGGACGCGAGUCUGAACCAGCCAAGUAGCGUGCAGGAAGAAGGCUCUAUGAGUUGUAAACUGCUUUUGUACAAGGGUAAACCUGAAUACGUGUAUUUAGCUGAAAGUACUGUACGAAUAAGGAUCGGCUAACUCCGUGCCAGCAGCCGCGGUAAUACGGAGGAUCCAAGCGUUAUCCGGAUUUAUUGGGUUUAAAGGGUGCGUAGGCGGAUUGAUAAGUUAGAGGUGAAAUGUCCGAGCUUAACUCGGGAACUGCCUCUAAUACUGUUGAGCUAGAGAGUAGAUGCGGUAGGCGGAAUGUAUGGUGUAGCGGUGAAAUGCGUAGAGAUCAUACAGAACACCGAUUGCGAAGGCAGCUUACCAAUCUAUGUCUGACGUUGAGGCACGAAAGCGUGGGGAGCAAACAGGAUUAGAUACCCUUGUAGUC
This 460-nucleotide ribosomal RNA is filed under the name uncultured bacterium. RNAcentral describes it as "partial 16S ribosomal RNA". It matches the Rfam family "Bacterial small subunit ribosomal RNA", at positions 338 to 795 of the family's 1533-position model. The record is from RNAcentral.